GGGCAGGUGGCGGAAUUGGAAGACGCGCAAGGUUCAGGACCUUGUGGCUAAAAGCCGUGAGGGUUCGAAUCCCUCCCUGCCCA
Molecule: transfer RNA, 83 nt
Filed under: Minisyncoccota bacterium
Lineage: Bacteria; Bacillati; Minisyncoccota
Description: tRNA-Leu
Rfam family: tRNA
About the family: Transfer RNA (tRNA) molecules are approximately 80 nucleotides in length. Their secondary structure includes four short double-helical elements and three loops (D, anti-codon, and T loops).
Source: RNAcentral